AUACACGGGGAGGCGACGCUAUCCUGGCCGCCAAGGAACGUCCCAACUUUCAGGUCGCAGGGAAGCCCUCCCUCCUCUCUGGCACUACAGCCCGCUAGGGAGGCGCCAGGUGCCUUAGCUCUGAAGACUAGUCUAGAAAGAGAGGCUGCAGGACCCGGGCUGGGAAGCGCGCAGACCCCGCAGUGAGGCCCAAGGAAAGGAGGGACGCGACCCCGCAAGAGGCCUAGCGCCAUGAAGUGCAAACGGCUGUCCACUGCGCCGAAUAGCUGGAGACUCGCUGGCCUGCGGCCAAUGCGCUCCCCGGCAGGAUUCGAGGACACGUCCUCGCUAAGUGUGCUGGGAGUACAAAGUUCAGUACCAUAAGGGUUGUGCCUAGCCAAGUCUACUGGGGGAGACAGAGAAGCCAUCCCUGAUCACAGGAAGAAACGGAGCCCGUUUCCCAAAGCCCAGGUCUGCUGCCGGGCUCGUGACCUUGGCCAAAUAGAGUAACUGAGCCCUCUGACGACAGUGGCCCAGCGGUUAGACGUAUGACCCAGAGCCCAUCGCGCGUCUUCCUCUGGAAUUAAUCCACAGAAGCAGGGAAUGAGGGAGAAUUCUUAGUGCUCGGGUUGCUUAGCAGGUGCAGCCAUAUUUUUUGUCAUGUGGAGAAGACACUUCUUCAGUAAGGAGAAUCAAACCAACAGAGAAAGAAAAGCAAAGGCAACUAGAAAAUGUUGAAUUGCUGCUUCCAGAGGCUCUAAUUCCAGAAGCUCCAUGAGUUCCAUGACCCACCUGGCUAGUCAAGCCAA
Lemur catta (Ring-tailed lemur) is the source of this 788-nucleotide long non-coding RNA. RefSeq lists it as uncharacterized. The transcript has 3 exons. NCBI's taxonomy places the organism in Eukaryota, Metazoa, Chordata, Mammalia, Primates, Lemuridae. The record is from RefSeq and is a predicted model, not a curated record.